GCGAAGUCUCCGCCGCCUGCCUCCGCCGUCCAUUCCGGCCGCCUGCGUUGAACCUGCCGCCCUUGCCUCCGUCGGCCAAUCUAUCUCCAUCGCCUCCUUCAUUCUGAGCUCAGAAACACCCCAAGCAAAAUCUGUAUACCACUCCAUCCUUGAUUCUUGUGGAAUAAAGAAACUAGUCGAGGACAACAAGAGAAAAGAGAGCAAAGAAGUGUGAUCAAUAAAGGGGAAAAAGAGGAGGAGAUGAGGCAGAAAGAUGAGCAGACCGAUGCUCGAUUUCAGGCUCAGCAGCGUAUGUUCGAGGAGAUAUUGGCUAGGCUUCCACCUGGACCCACUGGACCCACUCCACGCCACUGGACCAUCAUCUUGAUUAUGUUGUGUUUUUGUAUUUUGAAUACUUGAAUAUUUCUAUUAUAUAUUUUUGAACACUUGAAUAUUUUGU
This is a long non-coding RNA of Salvia miltiorrhiza (redroot sage), 439 nucleotides long. RefSeq lists it as uncharacterized. Lineage: Eukaryota; Viridiplantae; Streptophyta; Magnoliopsida; Lamiales; Lamiaceae. The transcript has 3 exons. The record is from RefSeq and is a predicted model, not a curated record.